Molecule: transfer RNA, 72 nt
Filed under: Trachylepis aureogularis
Lineage: Eukaryota; Metazoa; Chordata; Lepidosauria; Squamata; Scincidae
Description: tRNA-Asx
Source: RNAcentral
GGAUAGAAGCCCACUGGUUUGGGUGUUUAGCUGUUAACUAAAAUUUUACGGGAUCGAGGCCCGUUUAUCCAG